This 546-nucleotide ribosomal RNA is filed under the name uncultured bacterium. RNAcentral's name for it is "bacterial SSU rRNA". It matches the Rfam family "Bacterial small subunit ribosomal RNA", at positions 356 to 896 of the family's 1533-position model. The record is from RNAcentral.
GGGGAAUAUUGCGCAAUGGGGGGAACCCUGACGCAGCCAUGCCGCGUGAAUGAAGAAGGCCUUAGGGUUGUAAAGUUCUUUCGGUAUUGAGGAAGGUUGAUGUGUUAAUAGCACAUCAAAUUGACGUUAAAUACAGAAGAAGCACCGGCUAACUCCGUGCCAGCAGCCGCGGUAAUACGGAGGGUGCGAGCGUUAAUCGGAAUAACUGGGCGUAAAGGGCACGCAGGCGGUUAUUUAAGUGAGGUGUGAAAGCCCCGGGCUUAACCUGGGAAUUGCAUUUCAGACUGGGUAACUAGAGUACUUUAGGGAGGGGUAGAAUUCCACGUGUAGCGGUGAAAUGCGUAGAGAUGUGGAGGAAUACCGAAGGCGAAGGCAGCCCCUUGGGAAUGUACUGACGCUCAUGUGCGAAAGCGUGGGGAGCAAACAGGAUUAGAUACCCUGGUAGUCCACGCUGUAAACGCUGUCGAUUUGGGGGUUGGGGUUUAACUCUGGCGCCCGUAGCUAACGCGAUAAAUCGACCGCCUGGGGAGUACGGCCGCAAGGUUA